UGUCCUCAUAUAUCUUUAGUUAUAAUUUUAGAGAGAUGUAAAAUGACUUCACGGAUAUCUAAUUUAACCCGCUGAGAUGAGAAGAAGAUGAGAGGAAACACGCUUCAGUGCUGAUCUGUAGCGCUCGCGGGUCACUGCACAGAGCUGAAGUCUGAGAGGAAGACAACACAACUGCUUUAAUGCUGUUUUACUACACUUUUACUAUAAUAAACACCAACAUCUCAAUCCAACCAGUGACAACCCUGUGUAUGUAUUUAAUUCUGCUAUGGCUCAGCAAUGUUUUAUAAGCAGUUCUGUAGAAAUGAGUCAUGUCAUUGUCCAGCUCAGUUCAGUUCAAUAGCAUCAGUACAUCAUUUAUAAUAAUGGAAUAAACUAAAUUGUACUGAAUACAGUGUAUUUGUUUGUUUGUUUGUUUGUUUCUAGGAGAGCAUCAACCCCUAAUUGACAUGAGGAACAAAUCAUUGAAAGGUGUUCAGCGUUUGCAACAGAGGAAGCUUUAGGAAAGAAGAGAAGAGAGGAAGUGAAAAGGCACUCAACAGAUGUUGGAAAAUUCACUGGUAACAACUAAAAAAAAGACGACCAAAAAUAUAAUUCAACAGAAGAUGAUGGCUGUGGUGAAACAAGCACUCAAAUAAUGAAACUAAGACCAGUGGGAGUGCUGGAGAAAUCAAGUGUAUAAGUCUGUCGUCUCAGCCAUGGAAGAGAUCUUCAGACAUGAAGAGAUCGAGGAGUUAAAUGAAAUCAAAGAGCUAAAAGAAGAUUUACAAUAUUAGUGCCAUUUCAGUAUGAAAACAGAGAGAGAGCUGAGGGAAUGGAAAGAAAUGCAUGUUAUUGUGUAGUUGCAUGGACUAUCAGUGGAGGAACAGAAAGCUCUGAGAUUUCAUUAUAAAGAUCUUCAUUUAUGUUCUGAAGAUGAACGAAAGACUUGCGGGUUUGGGACGUCAUGAGGACUACAUCAAAAAUAGUGCUUCCACAUCUGAGAUGAAGGCAGUCAUAAGAACCAAGCAGAACGAUGAGGAUAAGCUCUUCAAAAAAUGAAACCUGUCUGAAUAAUGAGGGAAGAAAUGUGCAUGAUUGUGUGAUUUGUAAAUAAACACUAAAUACAUUUAGUGUAACUCUCAGCCUGUUAUUUUAAGUUUAAAGAAAAGUAAAAUAAUUUAUUGUUGCAUUGCUGUUUGAGACAUUCACUGUUGUUUUGUACCUUAAUUUAUUAUAUUGCAGUUGUG
Molecule: long non-coding RNA, 1226 nt
Organism: Onychostoma macrolepis
Lineage: Eukaryota; Metazoa; Chordata; Actinopteri; Cypriniformes; Cyprinidae
Exons: 5
Source: RefSeq, a predicted model, not a curated record